This 238-nucleotide long non-coding RNA is filed under the name Panax ginseng (ginseng). Its description in RNAcentral is "long non-coding RNA (PGIN_LNC012991)". The record is from RNAcentral. Lineage: Eukaryota; Viridiplantae; Streptophyta; Magnoliopsida; Apiales; Araliaceae.
UUAAAUUUCAUUUAUUAAUUAUUUAGAGUCUUACAACUACUAACAAGCAGUAAUAAUAAUAAUACUUAAUAAUUAAUUAACACUAAUAUUUGACUAUUUCAUUCGAAUAUUACUACCAAGUCAAAUUACUAUUUUGAUAAAAUUAAAAAUUACUAAAACUAGGUAAUUAACACCAUGCAGAUGCGACGGUGAGAGUUCGUCCCAUCCAACCAAAGCAAAUCCCGCCGGCUUCUUCUUU